UCGUAACAAGGUUUCCGUAGGUGAACCUGCGGAAGGAUCAUUACACUUUGCUCUUGGGAUUCCGCCGGCUUAGGCCAGGAGCCCUAGCAAAACACCUCUGUCUAUGUGUACUCAUUGUCCAUCCUUUGGCAGGCCUUACCCCUGCCAUAGGCCCUAGAACCUGAAUUAUAGCAUUUUCCUGAGCCCUAUUAUAAUGUCACAACUUUCAACAAUGGAUCUCUUGGCUCUGGCAUCGAUGAAGAACGCAGCGAAAUGCGAUAAGUAGUGUGAAUUGCAGACUUUAGUGAAUCAUCAAAUCUUUGAACGCACAUUGCGUCCUUUGGAAUUCCACUGGGCAUGCCUGUUUGAGCGUCAUAUCAUCUCAAGCAUCUGCUUGGUGUUGGGUGCUUGUCCUGCACCUAGUGCGGUGGACUCACCUUGAUAACAUUGGCAGUCAGCUUGCUAGCAUAGAGCGCAGCACUUGUGUUAUCUAUGUCCCAGCAGGCUGGCGACCCACCAAGACCCCCUUGUUUGACCUCAAAUCAGGUAGGGAUACCCGCUGAACUUAAGCAUAUCAAUAAGCGGAGGAAAAGAAACCAACAGGGAUUGCCCUAGUAACGGCGAGUGAAGCGGCAAAAGCUCAAAUUUGAAAUCUGGCCUUGGUAGAGGUCUGAGUUGUACUUUGUAGAGGGUGCUUUGGUGUUGGCAGUGGUCUAAGUUCCUUGGAACAGGAUGUCAUAGAGGGUGAGAAUCCCGUAUGCAAUCAUCUGCCUUCCCUAUGUAAAGCCCCUUCAACGAGUCGAGUUGUUUGGGAAUGCAGCUCUAAAUGGGAGGUAAAUUUCUUCUAAAGCUAAAUAUCAGCCAGAGACCGAUAGCGCACAAGUAGAGUGAUCGAAAGAUGAAAAGCACUUUGAAAAGAGAGUCAAAUAGCACGUGAAAUUGUUGAAGGGGAAGCGCUUGUAGCCAGACUUGCCCAUGGUUGUCUUCUUCUGUGGGCAGGCCAGCAUCAGUUUGGGGGGUUGGAAAAGGGCCUCUGUCAGGUAGCAUCCCUAAACCAGAUGACCUUAUAGGCGAGGUGUAGUACAACCAGCCCAGACUGAGGUCCACGCAUUUGCUAGGAUGCUGGCGCAAUGGCUGUCAGCGGC
Molecule: ribosomal RNA, 1124 nt
Filed under: uncultured fungus
Lineage: Eukaryota; Fungi
Description: eukaryotic LSU rRNA
Rfam family: Eukaryotic large subunit ribosomal RNA (bases 512-1124)
Source: RNAcentral